UUCUUGUUAGCAUGUUUUGUAUCGGGCUUUGCAGUUCAACCUCCAGACCAGUAGGUGGUGCUUAUGGGAAAAAGCUGUCUGUCACAGAAGCAGAUGGGUAUUUGCUUGAUCUCGGUUUAUUGGGAGGAACAGAAACACCAAGCUCACCCAUGAAUACUUCAAUGAGGAGCACAGGCACCAGCUCUGACGGGAGUGACUGAGGGAGCUCCUGGUGAAAUGUGCCAAGGUUGCUGCAGUUGGAGAGGGGGCUCCACCAGCUCCACAUCCUGGGCAGACAGGAACACAGUCUCUUUCUGUAUCACACCCUUGUGCCAGGGCUGAUGACUCUCAGUUCAGGCAGACACUGUCAUCUAACGCCAGGCCACAAUGUCACCGAAAGCCAGGGAAAACACCUGUCCCGUGAUUCUUCACUGGAAUGGCUUCAGCAUGGAAUCUCUUCCCUCAGCUCAAUACAGACAACUUUGUGGCUCUCCUGUUCUCCAGUGUAGGAACACUGCUGCUUCAUAGAGAGAGGGGGAAUGGUUCUGCCUUACAGUACAUGCAGCAGCAGCAGCCGUGAUACACAUCUUUGGGGUGUGCAAAAGUACUUGGCCUCCCCACUCCCUCCCCACUCCCUCCUGGCACUGCAACAGCAGCUGGUACCAGGCUGCAGCGUUUCAGGAAUGAAAAGCCUGUGGAAUUCCAUGUGGGCCGAAGCAGUGCCUCUGCGCAAUCUCCGGAUGAUCUAUUCAAAGUGUGAAUAUUUACUAUUUUGAUUCAUCUCCAUGGAAGAGGAACCCACUAGCUGCUUCUAGUCAGCCAUCUUGAACCAGAAGCCCUUAUUUUACUUUUAUUUGUACUUUUUCUUUCAAAAAACUUUUUAAAUAUGUCAUUAAAAUGGUAAAUUUGCAAGUUUAAGUGAAAUCUAGUUUAGAAUUGAUGAAUUGUUAGUGAUGAUAUUCACAUCAUGAAAGUACUCAAUAGCAACUAGCCAAAGACAUUACUUUGAGGCAUGAAAAUAUCCUGUGUCUGUUUCUGCAAUAUAUGUUUAUUUCAGGAUAAAAAAAGAAAUUGUUUCUAUAAUGGAUUUUCACAUGGAACAAGUAAAAUGUUCUUGACUGAAUAUGUUGGCUGUCUUUUCUUCCAACAAACCAUUAGUUUACCAGUGUUGACAUUAGAAACAGCUCCUUACUAAAAAAUAAAAAUGUACCACCAAUGGAUCUCAGCUCUUAAGUGGAUUUCUAGUGACUAUGAUACUUGCAUGAAG
This 1246-nucleotide long non-coding RNA is filed under the name Homo sapiens (human). Its description in RNAcentral is "HSALNT0403215". The record is from RNAcentral. Lineage: Eukaryota; Metazoa; Chordata; Mammalia; Primates; Hominidae.